AACGAACGCUGGCGGCAGGCUUAACACAUGCAAGUCGAACGGGCGUAGCAAUACGUCAGUGGCGGACGGGUGAGUAACACGUGGGAAUAUGCCUUUCGGUUCGGAACAACUCGGGGAAACCCGUGCUAAUUCCGGAUGCGCCCUUACGGGGAAAGAUUUAUCGCCGAAAGAUUAGCCCGCGUUGGAUUAGCUAGUUGGUGAGGUAAAGGCUCACCAAGGCGACGAUCCAUAGCUGGUUUGAGGGAACGACCAGCCACACUGGGACUGAGACACGGCCCAGACUCCUACGGGAGGCAGCAGUGGGGAAUCUUGCGCAAUGGCCUAACGGCUGACGCAGCGACGCCGCGUGAGGGAUGAAGCUCUUCGGAGUGUAAACCUCUGUUGAUCGGGACGAAUGGCGGAUUUUUCCGAC
Molecule: ribosomal RNA, 412 nt
Filed under: uncultured bacterium
Lineage: Bacteria
Description: bacterial SSU rRNA
Rfam family: Bacterial small subunit ribosomal RNA
Source: RNAcentral